AUUGAACGCUGGCGGCAGGCUUAACACAUGCGAGUCGAGCGGGGUGAUGGUGCUUGCACUAUCACUUAGCGGCGGACGGGUGAGUAAUGCUUAGGAAUCUGCCUAUUAGUGGGGGACAACAUCUCGAAAGGGAUGCUAAUACCGCAUUCGUCCUACGGGAGAAAGCAGGGGAUCACUUGUGACCUUGCGCUAAUAGAUGAGCCUAAGUCGGAUUAGCUAGUUGGUGGGGUAAAGGCCUACCAAGGCGACGAUCUGUAGCGGGUUUGAGAGGAUGAUCCGCCACACUGGGACUGAGACACGGCCCAGACUCCUACGGGAGGCAGCAGUGGGGAAUAUUGGACAAUGGGGGGAACCCUGAUCCAGCCAUGCCACGUGUGUGAAGAAGGCCUUAUGGUUGUAAAGCACUUUAAGCGAGGAGGAGGCUCUUUUGGUUAAUACCCAAGAUGAGUGGACGUUACUCGCAGAAUAAGCACCGGCUAACUCUGUGCCAGCCGCCGCAGUAA
RNAcentral lists this ribosomal RNA (503 nucleotides) under uncultured bacterium. RNAcentral's name for it is "partial 16S ribosomal RNA". It matches the Rfam family "Bacterial small subunit ribosomal RNA", at positions 30 to 523 of the family's 1533-position model. The record is from RNAcentral.